RNAcentral lists this ribosomal RNA (724 nucleotides) under Listeria monocytogenes. RNAcentral describes it as "bacterial SSU rRNA". It matches the Rfam family "Bacterial small subunit ribosomal RNA", at positions 50 to 746 of the family's 1533-position model. Lineage: Bacteria; Bacillati; Bacillota; Bacilli; Caryophanales; Listeriaceae. The record is from RNAcentral.
AAUACAUGCAAGUCGAACGCUUUUUCUUUCACCGGAGCUUGCUCCACCGAAAGAAAAAGAGUGGCGAACGGGUGAGUAACACGUGGGUAACCUGCCCAUCAGAAGGGGAUAACACUUGGAAACAGGUGCUAAUACCGUAUAACACUAUUUUCCGCAUGGAAGAAAGUUGAAAGGCGCUUUUGCGUCACUGAUGGAUGGACCCGCGGUGCAUUAGCUAGUUGGUGAGGUAACGGCUCACCAAGGCAACGAUGCAUAGCCGACCUGAGAGGGUGAUCGGCCACACUGGGACUGAGACACGGCCCAGACUCCUACGGGAGGCAGCAGUAGGGAAUCUUCGGCAAUGGACGAAAGUCUGACCGAGCAACGCCGCGUGAGUGAAGAAGGUUUUCGGAUCGUAAAACUCUGUUGUUAGAGAAGAACAAGGAUGAGAGUAAAACGUUCAUCCCUUGACGGUAUCUAACCAGAAAGCCACGGCUAACUACGUGCCAGCAGCCGCGGUAAUACGUAGGUGGCAAGCGUUGUCCGGAUUUAUUGGGCGUAAAGCGAGCGCAGGCGGUUUCUUAAGUCUGAUGUGAAAGCCCCCGGCUCAACCGGGGAGGGUCAUUGGAAACUGGGAGACUUGAGUGCAGAAGAGGAGAGUGGAAUUCCAUGUGUAGCGGUGAAAUGCGUAGAUAUAUGGAGGAACACCAGUGGCGAAGGCGGCUCUCUGGUCUGUAACUGACGC